AGCGAAACGGGAAGAGCCCAAACCAACAAGCUUGCUUGUUGGGGUUGUAGGACACUCUAUACGGAGUUACAAAGGACGACAUUAGACGAAUCAUCUGGAAAGAUGAAUCAAAGAAGGUAAUAAUCCUGUAGUCGAAAAUGUUGUCUCUCUUGAGUGGAUCCUGAGUACGACGGAGCACGUGAAAUUCCGUCGGAAUCUGGGAGGACCAUCUCCUAAGGCUAAAUACUCUCUAGUGACCGAUAGUGAACCAGUACCGUGAGGGAAAGGUGAAAAGCACCCCGGAAGGGGAGUGAAAUAGAACCUGAAACCGUGUGCUUACAAGUAGUCAGAGCCCGUUAAUGGGUGAUGGCGUGCCUUUUGUAGAAUGAACCGGCGAGUUACGAUUUGAUGCAAGGUUAAGCAGUAAAUGUGGAGCCGUAGCGAAAGCGAGUCUGAAUAGGGCGUUUAGUAUUUGGUCGUAGACCCGAAACCAGGUGAUCUACCCUUGGUCAGGUUGAAGUUCAGGUAACACUGAAUGGAGGACCGAACCGACUUACGUUGAAAAGUGAGCGGAUGAACUGAGGGUAGCGGAGAAAUUCCAAUCGAACCUGGAGAUAGCUGGUU
Molecule: ribosomal RNA, 603 nt
Filed under: Staphylococcus aureus
Lineage: Bacteria; Bacillati; Bacillota; Bacilli; Caryophanales; Staphylococcaceae
Description: partial 23S ribosomal RNA
Rfam family: Bacterial large subunit ribosomal RNA
Source: RNAcentral